This is a long non-coding RNA of Pseudopipra pipra, 353 nucleotides long. RefSeq lists it as uncharacterized. NCBI's taxonomy places the organism in Eukaryota, Metazoa, Chordata, Aves, Passeriformes, Pipridae. The transcript has 2 exons. The record is from RefSeq and is a predicted model, not a curated record.
GUUUUGUUCUUCACCCUCCUCCAGAUCCUGCUCAGAUCCACCCUGUAAUCUUGCCAUCUCUCUUUGCGACAUCGCUCUUCAGCCACACCCGGGAUGACGCACUGCCAUUUUUCAGCUCAUUUCAUUGUGUGCCUACAAGUCCUGCUGCAAAACCAGCGUGGAAAGAAACAACAGACAAAAAUAACAAAGCCAGUCCAGCCUCAAAGGUGGAUCUGCAGCCUCUAUAUCAUUGCAGAGAAGAAGUACAGCAAUAAAAAGGGACAUGUAUUAACAUGAACAUGGAGGUGUAGGGAUAUGAGAAUGGCCUGGUGAGAUUUCACUGUCCCAGCAUUUAGUAAAAUAAUUUGAACUAG